CUGAGCUGUCAGCCUCGGCCAGCGACCUGGGAGCCCGACGGAGGCGGAGGACCCCCUGGCCGGGCCCGGGUCGUAUCGGCGUCCUCCCCCCGGCCCCGCGAGCCAGCAUGGGGCAGGAAGAGGAGCUGCUGAGAAUCGCCAAGAAGCUGGAUAAAAUGGUGUCCAGGAAGAGCACGGAAGGAGCCCUGGAUCUCCUGAAGAAACUGAAUGGCUACAAGAUGUCAAUCCAGUUACUGCAGACCACCAGGAUUGGGAUUGCUGUCAAUGGGGUCCGUAAGCACUGCCUGGACAAGGAGGUGGUGGCCUUGGCCAAAAUUCUCAUCAAGAACUGGAAACGGCUCCUGGAUACCCCUGAGACCCCCAAAAAGGAAAAAUCGAUGGAAAAAGAAAAAGAGAAGAAGAAAGAGCAAGACGCUGACCUUUCUGACUGGAAACCACUGGGGGCUUUUUCCCCACAGAGCAAAAGCCAGAGGGAAGAACCCAAGGAUAGGAGAGACUCUUCCGAGUCCGGAUCUUCCUCCACCGUCUCCUCCCCAUCUUUCUCUUCCUCCUCCUCAUCUCCUCAGAAGAGGCUGGUGGAAAGAUCCAACAGCAGCAAAGGGAAAGUGGAGACCCCAAAGACACCCACCAGCCCCUCUUCCCCUACAUUUUCUCCAUCGAUCUGCUUCUUAGCCCCCUGCUACCUCACAGGAGACUCAGUCCGGGACAAGUGCGUGGAGAUGCUGUCAGCAGCCCUGAAGAUGGAUGAUGAUUACAAAGAAUAUGGAGUCAACUGUGAUAAGAUGGCAUCAGAAAUUGAAGAUCAUAUAUAUCAAGAACUGAAGGGCACAGACAUGAAAUAUCGGAAUAGGGUACGCAGCCGAAUCAGUAACCUCAAGGACCCCCGGAACCCCAACUUGAGGCGGAACGUGCUUUGCGGGGCUAUUUCCACCAGCCUCAUUGCCAGGAUGACGGCUGAGGAAAUGGCCAGUGAUGAACUGAAGGAGCUGAGGAACGCCAUGACUCUGGAGGCCAUCCGGGAGCACCAGAUGGCCAAGACCGGGGGCACAACAACCGACCUCUUCCAGUGCAAUAAGUGUAAAAAAAAGAAUUGUACCUACAACCAGACCAGGAAACUGAGCUUCAUAGAGGUUAAGUGAUUUGCCUAAGGCCACACAGUAAGUAAGUUGCAGAGCCAAGACUCGAACCCAGAUCUUCAAGUCCAGUGAAGGAUGUAAAACCCAGAAUUGGUGGAAAGGAAGGGAGAGAGCGUUCCAGGUGCAGACACGAAGUGCCGAUGAGCCCAUGACCACUUUCGUCUUAUGCAACGAGUGUGGCAACCGCUGGAAGUUCUGCUGAGUGGUCCCAGCCGGGCCUGUGGUGGUUGCAUCAAGCACACACGAAGAAGAAACCACUUGGCCCACAUGCCUGGAGCACAGAGAGAAAUGCUCAGAUAGGAAGGGGAGUUCUGGGUGGUGCCAGCUAAAUGUAGGACUCUCCCCAGAAUACGUAGCUAGCUUUGCCCUCUGACUUCAGAGCUUUCCCUAGUGGGUGAGAGAGGGUAUUUUUACUGGGAAAGUCCACACCAGAUGAGCUCUGACCUGUACCUCCCCAAAUCCUGCAGUAAAGCAGAAAUCUAAACCUACUUAAGGAUUCACAUAGAAUGCCAGAACUACCAGAGAAAUUAGAAUCUAGCCUCAGAAAUGAGAGGUGGUUUAGGACACAGACUCUCCAUGCUGGGAGGGGCCUCAGCUGAAAGGGAUUUUUUGAGACCUUUCGGUCCACCCUCCUCAUUUUAUAGGUGGGAGAACCGAGGCCCAGAGAGGAGCAAUCACUUGCCCUAGGUGGCAGAGACAGCAAGCGUCAGAAAUAGAACAAGCUGCCCACAUCAGGCCUCUUCCCCCUGCCCCAUCCUGCUUCUGGGGACUGAUUGUGCCAAGACAAGGACAUUGAGUCCUUCCCCAGUGAUUAGCCCUUCCCUAGUUUUUCUCCAUGAAAAAUACCAGGCUGACAAAAGUGAUGCCCCUGUCUGUCCUAUCACUUCCUUCACCUAGCAACCAGUGUGUCAUUUGGUCUAAUAAUAGGUUUGAUACUGUAUAGAAAGAACACAAUCUUUGCAUUUAGGUGCUGAGUAAUUUUCAAUCAUGUCUGAUUCUUCAUGACCCCAUUUGGGGUUUUCUUGGCAGGGAUGCUGGAGUGGUUUGCCAUUUCCUUCUCCAGCUCAUGUGACAGAUGAGGAAACUGAGGCAAACAGGGUGAAGUGACUUGCCCAGGGUCACACAGCUAGGAAGUAUCUGAGGCUGGAUUUGAACUCAGGUCUUCCUGACUCCAGACCCAGUGCUCUAUCUACUGCACCAUCUCAAAUCCCAUCUCUGCUGCUGGGUGAGCUUGGGUUGAGUCCAUUUGCCUCUGUGGGCCUCAGUAUGAACUGUAAAAUGGAAGGACUGAAUUAAUUAGCUUCUGAUAUUCCUUCCAGAUCAAGAUCCAUGAUGCCAUGAGGCAUUUAUAUAUCACAUUGGCGCUACAAAAUCCUCUCUCUUGUGGCUUCCUCUCGGACCCCCCGUAGCAGUCCUGUGAGCUGGGUAGUGUGAGUACUAUGGCCAUUUUACAGAUGAGAAAGCUGGACUCACAGAUCCUAGAGGCAAAGUCAGGAUGUGUCCUCACAUCCUCCUGACUCUUAGACUCAUUGCAAUCUGAUAUACUUUACCGAUCUAGACCUGUGUGACAACAGGGUACCCUUCUCCCUAAAUUACAAAAGGUCUUCCCUGUCCUCGUCCUCACGCCCUCCCAAACUAUCAGUAACUCCUUGUUCUCAUUGGGUUUGGGGUGGGGGACCCUUGGUACACCCACAGAUUGAGUCCUGGAAUCAGGAAACCGUGCCUCCUGACUUCAUGUUGCCACACUGCCCCCGGGCCACAGGCUGAGAUGGGACUCUCCAUAGCCAGCUCCCACCAAACAGAAGACAGGGCACCUGCAGGCCGGAGCUUCCUUAGGAUGCUCUGUGCAAAGCAAAAGUGCCCUUCUAGGCUUUCCUCUUUGACUGCACUUCCUAAUUGAUUCAAUGAUUUAGUCACAGGUGACUUUCCCUGGCCCCCAGGUCAGGAAAGGAGGCUGCCCCAGGAAGAAGACUUCUGGGAACCCCUGCUUUUCUUCCCCUCCCCCUUCUUCUGGCUGCCCCCCAACCUGGGAGAGUUGCCUCUCCUUCCCUGAAGAUUUCCAUCCCCCGCCCCCAACAGCACCCUGCACAGCUGAAGAGCAGAAGCAUUGGCCAGUCCUCUGCCCCUCCUAGGGGUCAGCUGGAUGAGCUUGUUUCACAGCUGUACUUAGGGAUCAGUCAGAGUAACUUACUCAAGGCCAAACAGCUAAUGAGUUAUAUGGAAUGCGGUCACAGCGACCUCUGACAUUUUUCCCCCUGAAAUGCACUAGGUACCACCCUCCCCUGAAAUGGAGACCCCAAACAGCUUCUCCUAUAGGCUAACUCUGUAAAUAAACUCUGUACAGAAA
Molecule: RNA transcript, 3483 nt
Organism: Trichosurus vulpecula (common brushtail)
Lineage: Eukaryota; Metazoa; Chordata; Mammalia; Diprotodontia; Phalangeridae
Gene: TCEA3
Gene name: transcription elongation factor A3
Exons: 12
Source: RefSeq, a predicted model, not a curated record